Long non-coding RNA from Amaranthus tricolor (Joseph's coat), 4103 nucleotides. RefSeq lists it as uncharacterized. The record is from RefSeq and is a predicted model, not a curated record. The transcript is spliced from 3 exons. Lineage: Eukaryota; Viridiplantae; Streptophyta; Magnoliopsida; Caryophyllales; Amaranthaceae.
AAUCAUUAGCUAAAAACUCUGAUAAUCCCAUAAAAAUGUCAAACAAUUGCUAUAAAAACUAAAUUCUUCACAGUACUACAAAACUUCUAAUUAUGUCAUAUUACACCGUAAAAAGGCAAAAUUGUCGCCCAAUUCGUAUACUUAGAAAUAUUGCUACAAAGCACGUCACUUUUAGAAUGGACAAGAAGGUGAAUGACAGCGCAACAAUGGCGGCGUCAUUGCCAUUUUCGGAGAUGCGUUCGUUGACAUAUUCUCUUACAUCGUUUGUAGAUGAUCAAAGAAGAAGAAACAAGAAGGUGAAUGACAGCCAUUGUUGUUCAGUUGUUCAAUUGUUCAAGCUUAAAGUUAGUUGCCAUUGUACGAGAGAUAAUGACAAAUUUUAGGUCAAUUUGGAGUGAUAAUUAGAAAUCACAAAUGAGGAAAAUCUGAGGAAAACAAACUCCGAGAAGAUCAAGCAAUCGAGUGAUUUUCUGGAACGUUUGAAGGAUUCAUUGGUUUCUGUUGUUUAGGGUGCCCAAGCUGAUGAUGCCAUAAUUCUUGCUUCUGUGGGGCUGUGAGGUUGCUUCAGCCUGUUAGUGUGGGGGAUUUCUUGGAGCGGUUGCAGUCAGGACUCAGGUGUGUUUAUCUUCUGUGAAAUGAAAGCUUAAAUAAGGUUUACAAAUGAAAAACAAGUUGAAAACUACAAUAAGAUUCAAUGGAAGAACACAAAAUGUAUAUGAGGUAUCUUGGAUCCCUCCCCAAAGCAAAUGUUUAUUUAUAUUUGGAUUCAGUAAUACAAUAUAAAUAACUCCCCCAAUUUUGAGAACAACCUUUCAAGAUAACUAUCUUCCAACAAUGGAGAUCUUACAAUACUAACACAAAGAAAGAAAGCUCUCUUGGUUAACACCCUAGCCCCUCACUUGUGUAUUAGCGCUCACUCUAUGUUGUGUGUUGUGUGUUGUUUUUAUGAAUAUGAAUGCCCUUUAUAUAGAGGGUAUACCAUAUUCUAAAGUCAACAUAUUAACGCUACAUCAAUACAUACCAAUAAACUCGAAGUUAAACCCCCUUCAAUGCCCAUAAACGUUCAAAAACUGACUGUUGGGAAUCCAAGACUAGCUGCUCGAACAAGCUCACACAAUGCUCUAACGAGCAGCUGAUUUUCUCACCUUAUGUCUGCUGCCUGCACUUCUUCUCCGACGAGCAUAGGCCUGCUCGAACGAGCGGCUACUGCUGGCCUCUUUUGUUUGGUCUUUUCACGUUGCCUUGUUCAAGCAACCUACCAACACAUGCCUUGUCUUGUUCAAGGCAUGGCCUAGCAUCUUUAGUGAAGACUCAAGCGCUCCACAUCGAUCCCUCAUGUGUCAUUCAAAAUCUCAAUACAUCACAGCACGACACAUCCUCACUGUCCUUCUCCAAAGUACAACACUUACAUUAGCAUUCUGUUUUGGGGAUUCAGUUUAAGUCUGUUGUGCUGUUUUUGGGAGCCAUGGACUGCUGGUGCUGCUUCCCAGGCUCCCACCCUGCUGUUAUGUGUGACCAUGUUGCUGCUGUUUGAGGCUGUGGGUGCUGUGGCCUGGUGUGGCUGACCUCUCCUUCCCUCCUUCCUCGUGGUUUUUGUGUCUUUUGCUUUUGAUGCCUAGGUUGUUUUCGGCUGUAUAGGUCUGUGUCCGAUUUUUCUUGCAUUUGGUUUUUGUGGCUUUUUUUUGCUUUUAGCUUUUAGUGCAUAGGUUGUGUUGGGCCGUAUAGGUCUGUGUCCACUUUUUCUUACAUUUGGUUUUUGUGGCUCUUUGUCCCUUGUAGCCCCUCUUAGGGGCCCCCCUUGUAUUCCGAGUUCGGACUGCUUUUUUGGGUUUUAUAUAUACCUAUACUUGCCAAAAGAAAAAAAAUACUUGUCACUCCGCUCACUGGUUUCAAUCUAGGUUCUGGAAUUACAAUUGUGUAUGACACAUAGCCUAUCACUUAUUGUAGUAUAAUUAAUCAUUUUAGCAAAUAAUUUGGACACAAAGACAAGAAUGACAUGAAAAUCAGAAACAGAGAACACUAUGCAAAAUUAGGCUAAUGCCCAACAUAACUCGACAGUCUUUAGUCUCCUUCGUGAUAAAGAUUUGAUGAUACGUAAAAUUUGCUGUCAAUUGCUAUUCAAGAGUAGUAGAACACCACUACAAUCUGCCUUGAAUGCAUCAUUAGAUACGCUCCUAUGACCACCACCUCUGUCACUAGGACUAGAUUAUUGUCGCUAGGACUAGACUUGUCACCACCCUUUAGCAGCUCCCUACCGUCAUUCAGGAAAUUACUGUGCCACAAUAAGAACAAUGACUAGGGUUACAGGGCUCAUUACUCCGUCUCAGUCACAUGAUUCGCUAAUCUCCCUGCGAAUCGUGAAUCGAAAAACUUAAUUUUGGGCUUAUUUUCAAUAAUUUUGAGCGAAUUUUGAAUUUAAAAGACGAAUUAGCUGGCGAAUUAUGUUACAUUGCUCCGUCUUGCCGUAUGUGGUGCCCCACCUUACGUGCAAUCUCUUGAGUUGAAAACCUUUGAUGUAAUAGGGUCUUGCAUCAAAAUUUGAGAUUGCACGUUACCGUAUAUGCUUUGAGUUAAGGCCCAUCAGAAAUUGAUAAACAUUCUGAUUCUUGUGUCUCUUCACCAAGGUCGUUUUCACACCAUAAGAGCAAUCGUGCGUACACCCAGGGUUUGUUGGGAUGGUUUAUUCAACAUCAAUGAAUUAAAGAUAGUGUGCACACUUUAUAAGUGAUUGGAGCCCUUCCUCACAUUGCCAUAUGGUUUGGGGAUGGUAUAUCCUUGGCUUAUGAAGUGUGUACACCUCAUGUUACCUGAUAAUAUGCGACAUCCAUAAUAAUUCCAGCUUAAUAUAACAGGGUGUAGGGAAAUUAUAGCUUGCUAACCCGCCCUAAAUCAUCCGCAAUUUGCAAUUUGCAAUUGUAGUCGACCACUGAAUUGUUUCCUUGCAUUGGCCAAGUCAUUGAAUUCAUGAAUUUGAGGGCCAUUUCCAACAGAGAAAUGAGUACUUGGCAAUUCUCAUCUCUUCAUAGCGCAUAAAUACAAUUUCGGCCGCAAUAUCAAUAAUGGUAAGAAUGAUGCGAUAACGAGGUAUUGUGGUUAUUGCACCACCAAAUAUGACUUUGUCCGUUUAAUUUUACUACGAACAUCCUAUGACUCACUUGUUUAUUUCUUUACAAGUACCUAUUUGUUGGGCAGUUACAUUUGUAACUCUAAAUCUUCCAAAUGAGGAGUACUUGUGUGUAAAUCAAGGCCUCCUAAUGACAUCCUUAAUCACAUCAAGAAGAAAAAGACAUAAUUAAGUUGCUACACCCACCAUAUCCUUCCCAUUUAUUAGUACACUAUUUAUCAAUGAACUUUUUAGUUCCAAUUUAACUUAAUCUUAAACAAGUAAUUAUGGACCCAAAUCAACCCACGCACCCACCAAACUAGCCCAUAAAAGAAUAAAAGGAAAAAAACACUAAGAGCUAGUUUUGUGAGGGACCGUCUUUCGAUAAGACAACCUUAAAAUAAGGAAUUCAUACGCUAAUAAUUUUAUUAAUUGGACUAUUCAACCUAUAUGUAAAUAAACGUUUCAUGGUGAGAUUGUCUCACACGAGAAUUUAUGGAAGAUAAAAAAAAGAUGAAUUGAUUGGAGACCCACUACCAUACUCAUAGAACAAGAGUUGCUUAUGUAGGUAGGCAAGUAAUAAAAGCGAAGGAGACAAUCACUACAUAUUUGGCACUUAAAAGAUGAGAAUUGUCUGAUAUUUUUCUCAUUCAUUGUUUCAACAUAUCUUACACUAAAUAGAAUGGAGGGUCAUCUGCAUUUUUAGUCCAAUGUUUGUAUUGCUUGUGUAUCACUAACAUGUGGCCCAAAGCAGGACACCAUUUGUCUGUCUUUCCUAGUUUUAUAGGAGAGACCAAACUACGAUAAUAUAUUAUAGGACUUCAAUCAUUAGCAUAAGAUUUUAUAUGAGUUAAUCUUUAAGUCGAAUGGCAAGUGGGUAAAAUUAAAAUUGUUAAAAGUAGGGCAUAUUUGAUAAAUUUUUAUUGGGAUGAACACAACAAGACCCGCAUAAGAGGAGAGUUAACUGCACACAAAUCCGAUGAGAUUCCAUUCUAAAACC